GGUGAGUUGGCAGACUAGUGCAAUUGACUUAGGAUCAAAAUAUGUAAACCAUUUACACUCACCU
Molecule: transfer RNA, 64 nt
Filed under: Glycera dibranchiata
Lineage: Eukaryota; Metazoa; Annelida; Polychaeta; Phyllodocida; Glyceridae
Description: tRNA-Leu
Source: RNAcentral